RNAcentral lists this long non-coding RNA (805 nucleotides) under Salmo salar (Atlantic salmon). RNAcentral describes it as "lncRNA (ENSSSAG00000089942.1)". The record is from RNAcentral. Lineage: Eukaryota; Metazoa; Chordata; Actinopteri; Salmoniformes; Salmonidae.
UUUGAAUGAAAACAACAUCUCCCGGUCGGAAUAUUAUCGCUAUUUUACGAGAAAAAUCGUAUAAAAAUGGAUUUUAAACAGCGUUUGACAUGCUUCGAAGUACGGUAAUGGAAUAUUUAGAAAAUUUUUGUCACGAUAUGCGCCGGCGCGUCACCCUUCGGAUAGUGUCUUGAACGCAAGAACAAAACGCCGCUAUUUGGAUAUAACUAUGGAUUAUUUGGAACCAAAACAAUAUUGGGUGUAAAGUAGAAGUCCUGGGAGUGUAUUCUGACGAAGAACAGCAAAGGAGGAGUGCGUCAUUUGAGUGGGUUGAGUCACUGACAUGGUCUUCCUGUCUGGGUUGGUGCUCCCCCUUGGGUUGUGCCGUGGCGGAGAUCUUUGUGGGCUAUACUCGGCCUUGUCUCAGAAUGUCCACCUGGCCGUGCUGCUGCUCCAGUUUCAACUGUUCUGCCUACAGCUAUGGAACCCUGACCUUUUCACCGGACGUGCUACCUGUUCCAGACCUGCUGUUUUCAACUCUCUAGAGACAGCAGGAGCGGUAGAGAUACUCUCAAUGAUCGGCUAUGAAAAGCCAACUGACAUUUACUCCUGAGGUGCUGACCUGUUGCACCCUCGACAACUACUGUGAUUAUUAUUAUUUGACCACGUCGGUCAUUUAUGAACAUUUGAACAUCUUGGCCAUGUUCUGUUACAAUCUCCACCCGGCACAGCCAGAAGAGGACUGGCCACCCCUCAUAGCCUGGUUCCUCUAUAGGUUUCUUCCUAGGUUUUGGCCUUUCUAGAGAGUUUUUCCUAGCCACCGUGC